RNAcentral lists this ribosomal RNA (460 nucleotides) under uncultured bacterium. RNAcentral's name for it is "partial 16S ribosomal RNA". It matches the Rfam family "Bacterial small subunit ribosomal RNA", at positions 338 to 795 of the family's 1533-position model. The record is from RNAcentral.
CCUACGGGCGGCAGCAGUGAGGAAUAUUGGUCAAUGGACGGAAGUCUGAACCAGCCAAGCCGCGUGAAGGAAGACGGCCCUAUGGGUUGUAAACUUCUUUUGUAUGGGAAUAAAAUGUUCCACGUGUGUUAUUUUGUAUGUACCAUAUGAAUAAGGAUCGGCUAACUCCGUGCCAGCAGCCGCGGUAAUACGGAGGAUCCGAGCGUUAUCCGGAUUUAUUGGGUUUAAAGGGUGCGUAGGUGGAUUGUUAAGUCAGUGGUGAAAUUUUGGUGCUUAACCGGAAAAUUGCAGUUGAUACUGUCAGUCUGGAGAGCAGUAGAGGUAGGCGGAAUUCAUGGUGUAGCGGUGAAAUGCUUAGAUAUCACGAAGAACUCCGAUUGCGAAGGCAGCUUACUGGACUGUAACUGACGUUGAGGCUCGAAAGUGUGGGGAGCAAACAGGAUUAGAUACCCGAGUAGUC